GAUAGAGACUUUGCAGAGACGGAUGAGUGCCUUCGGGAGCUCUGUGACAGGUGCUGCAUGGCUGUCGUCAGCUCGUGUUGUGAAAUGUUGGGUUAAGUCCCGCAACGAGCGCAACCCUUAUCCUUGUUUGCCAGCGAGUAAUGUCGGGAACUCCAGGGAGACUGCCGGUGAUAAACCGGAGGAAGGUGGGGACGACGUCAAGUCAUCAUGGCCCUUACGGGAUGGGCUACACACGUGCUACAAUGGCGCAUACAGAGGGCAGCCAACUUGCGAGGGGGAGCGAAUCCCAAAAAGUGCGUCGUAGUCCGGAUUGGAGUCUGCAACUCGACUCCAUGAAGUCGGAAUCGCUAGUAAUCGUGGAUCAAAAUGCCACGGUGAAUACGUUCCCGGGUCUUGUACACACCGA
RNAcentral lists this ribosomal RNA (406 nucleotides) under uncultured bacterium. RNAcentral's name for it is "bacterial SSU rRNA". It matches the Rfam family "Bacterial small subunit ribosomal RNA", at positions 988 to 1393 of the family's 1533-position model. The record is from RNAcentral.